Molecule: ribosomal RNA, 271 nt
Filed under: uncultured bacterium
Lineage: Bacteria
Description: partial 16S ribosomal RNA
Rfam family: Bacterial small subunit ribosomal RNA
Source: RNAcentral
UACGGAGGGUGCAAGCGUUGUUCGGAUUUACUGGGCGUAAAGGGCGCGUAGGCGGUUUUAUAAGCCAGAUGUGAAAGCCCACGGCUCAACCGUGGAAGUGCAUCUGGAACUGUAAGACUUGAGUAUGGGAGAGGAAAGUGGAAUUCCCGGUGUAGAGGUGAAAUUCGUAGAUAUCGGGAGGGAUACCGGUGGCGAAGGCGACUUUCUGGACCAAUACUGACGCUGAGGCGCGAAAGCGUGGGUAGCAAACAGGAUUAGAAACCCCGGUAGU